This 647-nucleotide ribosomal RNA is filed under the name uncultured bacterium. RNAcentral's name for it is "bacterial SSU rRNA". It matches the Rfam family "Bacterial small subunit ribosomal RNA", at positions 1 to 611 of the family's 1533-position model. The record is from RNAcentral.
CGAUUGAGUUUGAUCCUGGCUCAAGACGAACGCUGGCGGCGUGCCUAAUACAUGCAAGUCGAGCGAGCUUGCCUAGAUGAUUUUAGUGCUUGCACUAAAUGAAACUAGAUACAAGCGAGCGGCGGACGGGUGAGUAACACGUGGGUAACCUGCCCAAGAGACUGGGAUAACACCUGGAAACAGAUGCUAAUACCGGAUAACAACACUAGACGCAUGUCUAGAGUUUGAAAGAUGGUUCUGCUAUCACUCUUGGAUGGACCUGCGGUGCAUUAGCUAGUUGGUAAGGUAACGGCUUACCAAGGCAAUGAUGCAUAGCCGAGUUGAGAGACUGAUCGGCCACAUUGGGACUGAGACACGGCCCAAACUCCUACGGGAGGCAGCAGUAGGGAAUCUUCCACAAUGGACGAAAGUCUGAUGGAGCAACGCCGCGUGAGUGAAGAAGGGUUUCGGCUCGUANAGCUCUGUUGGUAGUGAAGAAAGAUAGAGGUAGUAACUGGCCUUUAUUUGACGGUAAUUACUUAGAAAGUCACGGCUAACUACGUGCCAGCAGCCGCGGUAAUACGUAGGUGGCAAGCGUUGUCCGGAUUUAUUGGGCGUAAAGCGAGUGCANGGCGGUUCAUAAGUCUGAUGUGAAAGCCUUCGGCUCA